AUGUGUGACUUAGGGAAGUACAGUAGAGGGCUAAGCAUGCUGGGUGUAAAUCGAAUAGCUUUAGACCACCAAGCUCAGACCAGUAGUAGGAUAGCUAUACUGUUCACACAGACCAGUAGUAGGAUAGCUAUACUGUUCACACAGACCAGUAGUAGGAUAGCUAGACUGUUCACACAGACCAGUAGUAGGAUAUCUAGACUGUUCACACAGACCAGUAGAGGGAUAGCUAGACUGUUCACACAGACCAGUAGUGGGAUAUCUAGACUGUUCACACAGACCAGUGGUGGGAUAGCUAGACUGUUCACACAGACCAGUAGUGGGAUAUCUAGACUGUUCACACAGACCAGUAGUGGGAUAGCUAGACUGUUCACACAGACCAGUAGUGGGAUAGCUAGACUGUUCACACAGACCAGUAGUGGGAUAUCUAGACUGUUCACACAGACCAGUAGUGGGAUAGCUAGACUGUUCACACAGACCAGUAGUGGGAUAUCUAGACUGUUCACACAGACCAGUAGUGGGAUAUCUAGACUGUUCACACAGACCAGUAGUGGGAUAGCUAGACUGUUCACACAGACCAGUAGUAGGAUAGCUAUACUGUUCACACAGACCAGUAGUGGGAUAGCUAGACUGUUCACACAGACCAGUAGUAGGAUAUCUAGACUGUUCACACGGACCAGUGGUGGGAUAGCUAGACUGUUCACACAGACCAGUAGUGGGAUACCUAGACUGUUCACACAGACCAGUGGUGGGAUAGCUAGACUGUUCACACAGACCAGUAGUGGGAUAUCUAGACUGUUCACACAGACCAGUAGUGGGAUAGCUAGACUGUUCACACAGACCAGUAGUGGGAUAGCUAGACUGUUCACACAGACCAGUAGUGGGAUAUCUAGACUGUUCACACAGACCAGUAGUGGGAUAGCUAGACUGUUCACACAGACCAGUAGUGGGAUAUCUAGACUGUUCACACGGACCAGUAGUGGGAUAUCUAGACUGUUCACACGGACGCAAGCAAGCAUCUCCCAACCUUUUGGAGCAUCUGCAAGGCUUUUAAAUUGA
Molecule: long non-coding RNA, 1056 nt
Organism: Oncorhynchus mykiss (rainbow trout)
Lineage: Eukaryota; Metazoa; Chordata; Actinopteri; Salmoniformes; Salmonidae
Source: Ensembl